This 206-nucleotide ribosomal RNA is filed under the name uncultured bacterium. RNAcentral's name for it is "partial 16S ribosomal RNA". It matches the Rfam family "Bacterial small subunit ribosomal RNA", at positions 568 to 774 of the family's 1533-position model. The record is from RNAcentral.
UGCGUAGGCGGCCUGACAAGUCAGAAGUGAAAGGCUACGGCUCAACCGUGGUAAGCUUUUGAAACUGUCAGGCUUGAGUGCAGGAGAGGAGAGCGGAAUUCCUGGUGUAGCGGUGAAAUGCGUAGAUAUCAGGAAGAACACCAGUAGCGAAGGCGGCUCUCUGGACUGAAACUGAUGCUGAGGCACGAAAGCGUGGGGAGCGAACA